AAUCAACGCUGGCGGCGUGCCUAACACAUGCAAGUCGAGCGCGAAAGGGGAGUAAUCCCCAAGUAGAGCGGCGAACGGGUGAGUAACGCGUGGGUGAUCUACCUCCGAGUGGGGAAUAACCCCGGGAAACUGGGGCUAAUACCGCAUGACAUCCCUGAGUCACAUCGGGGAUCAAAGCCGGGGACCGCAAGGCCUGGCGUUUGGAGAUGAGCCCGCGUCCGAUUAGCUAGUUGGCGGGGAACGGCCCACCAAGGCUUCGAUCGGUAGCCGGCCUGAGAGGGCGGACGGCCACACUGGGACUGAGACACGGCCCAGACUCCUACGGGAGGCAGCAGUGGGGAAUUUUUCGCAAUGGGGGAAACCCUGACGAAGCAACGCCGCGUGGAGGAUGAAGGCC
RNAcentral lists this ribosomal RNA (397 nucleotides) under uncultured bacterium. RNAcentral describes it as "bacterial SSU rRNA". It matches the Rfam family "Bacterial small subunit ribosomal RNA", at positions 29 to 416 of the family's 1533-position model. The record is from RNAcentral.